Long non-coding RNA from Homo sapiens (human), 416 nucleotides. Ensembl annotates it as family with sequence similarity 230 member H. Its record names the gene FAM230H. The record is from Ensembl. Lineage: Eukaryota; Metazoa; Chordata; Mammalia; Primates; Hominidae.
AGGGAUCUUCUGCCCUUGGUCCUAAGUGCCACUAUCUGUGCUGAGUUUUUCAAAGGUCAGAGCAGAUUGAACCAUUGUGGUUUCAUUUUCCCUGAUUUUGAUUUUUCUUAUGGGGAACCUGUGUGGCUGCAUUCAAGGUGACUCGAAGAAGCCUUCCAAAAAGCAUGUGAAAAGGAAGCCCUACUCUACUACCAAGGUGACUUCAGGGAGCACAUUCAAUGGUACGUAUUCUGGAAUCACUCACUGGUUGUUAGAAAAGGAUUCUACAGGAAAUCUGGAGCUUAACUGCUGGCUUUUGUCUGGAGAGCCUCCAUGAUCCAAGACAUCUGAGAAUACAAGAAGAUAUGCUGUGCACACCAACCAGUGUAGGAGACCUCAUGGCUCCCGGGUAAAGAAGAAGAGGUACCCACAAGAAG